GCUCAUCUUCGGAUGAGUGGAGAGUGGCGCACGGGUGAGUAACACGUAUCUGAUCUGCCCCGAAGAGGGGAAUAACGCUCCGAAAGGAGUGCUAAUACCCCAUAGGCUCCCGCGAACUAUAGGCGCGAGAGAAAAGGCUAAGGCGCUUUGGGAUGAGGCUGCGGUCCAUCGUCUGCUUGGUGAGGUAAAAGCUCACCAAGGCAACGACGGAUAGGGGACCUGAGAGGGUGAACCCCCACACUGGCACUGAGACACGGGCCAGACUCCUACGGGAGGCAGCAGUGAGGAAUAUUGCACAAUGGGCGCAAGCCUGAUGCAGCGACGCCGCGUGGGCGAGGAAGGUCUUCGGAUCGUAAAGCCCUUUUCCAGGUGACGAGAAAGGACGGUAGCCUGGGAAUAAGUCUCGGCUAACUACGUGCCAGCAGCCGCGGUAAAACGUAGGAGGCGAGCGUUAUCCGGAGUUACUGGGCGUAAAGCGCGUGUAGGCGGUUAUGCAGGUCAGUCGUGAAAGCUCCCAGGCUAAACCGGGAGAGGUCGUCUGAAACCGUGUAACUAGAGUAUGGCAGAGGGAUGUAGAAUUCCGGGUGUAGUGGUGAAAUGCGUAGAUAUCCGGAGGAAUACCAGUGGCGAAGCGGCAUCCUGGGCCAAAACUGACGCUGAGACGCGAAAGCAUGGGGAGCGAACGGGAUUAGAAACCCCGGUAGUCCAUGCCGUAAACGAUGCACACUAGUGUUCGUGCCAGAAACUGGUGUGAGUGCCGCAGCAACGCGAUAAGUGUGCCGCUGGGGAGCACGGUCGCAAGCUAAACUCAAAGAAUUGACGGG
Molecule: ribosomal RNA, 824 nt
Filed under: uncultured bacterium
Lineage: Bacteria
Description: bacterial SSU rRNA
Rfam family: Bacterial small subunit ribosomal RNA
Source: RNAcentral